Molecule: ribosomal RNA, 273 nt
Filed under: uncultured bacterium
Lineage: Bacteria
Description: partial 16S ribosomal RNA
Rfam family: Bacterial small subunit ribosomal RNA
Source: RNAcentral
UACGUAGGGAGCGAGCGUUGUCCGGAAUCAUUGGGCGUAAAGAGCGCGUAGGUGGAUCAUCCAGUCUGCUGUGAAAGUCAAAGGCUCAACCUUUGAAAGCCGGUGGAUACUGUUGAUCUAGAGUACGGAAGAGGCGAGUGGAAUUCCUGGUGUAGCGGUGGAAUGCGCAGAUAUCAGGAGGAACACCAAUAGCGAAGGCAGCUCGCUGGGACGUUACUGACACUGAGGCGCGAAAGCGUGGGGAGCAAACAGGAUUAGAAACCCGCGUAGUCC